Molecule: unclassified non-coding RNA, 148 nt
Filed under: soil metagenome
Description: partial internal transcribed spacer 1
Source: RNAcentral
CCGAGUUUACAACUCCCAAACCCCUGUGAACAUACCUAUACGUUGCCUCGGCGGAUCAGCCCGCGCCCCGUAAAACGGGACGGCCCGCCCGAGGACCCCUAAACUCUGUCUUUAGUGGAACUUCUGAGUAAAACAAACAAAUAAAUCA